This 468-nucleotide ribosomal RNA is filed under the name uncultured bacterium. RNAcentral describes it as "partial 16S ribosomal RNA". It matches the Rfam family "Bacterial small subunit ribosomal RNA", at positions 28 to 507 of the family's 1533-position model. The record is from RNAcentral.
GACGAACGCUGGCGGCGUGCUUAACACAUGCAAGUCGAACGGAAAGGCCCUGCUUUUGUGGGGUGCUCGAGUGGCGAACGGGUGAGUAACACGUGAGUAACCUGCCCUUGACUUUGGGAUAACUUCAGGAAACUGGGGCUAACGCCGGAUAGGAGCUCCUGCUGCAUGGUGGGGGUUGGAAAGUUUCGGCGGUUGGGGAUGGACUCGCGGCUUAUCAGCUUGUUGGUGGGGUAGUGGCUUACCAAGGCUUUGACGGGUAGCCGGCCUGAGAGGGUGACCGGCCACAUUGGGACUGAGAUACGGCCCAGACUCCUACGGGAGGCAGCAGUGGGGAAUAUUGCACAAUGGGCGGAAGCCUGAUGCAGCAACGCCGCGUGCGGGAUGACGGCCUUCGGGUUGUAAACCGCUUUCGCCUGUGACGAAGCGUGAGUGACGGUAAUGGGUAAAGAAGCACCGGCUAACUACGUG